Molecule: unclassified non-coding RNA, 158 nt
Filed under: uncultured Cytospora
Lineage: Eukaryota; Fungi; Ascomycota; Sordariomycetes; Diaporthales; Cytosporaceae
Description: sequence contains ITS2
Source: RNAcentral
CAACCCUCAAGCCCUGCUUGGUGUUGGGGCAUUACCCGGUCACACGGGUAAGCCCUGAAAUUUAGUGGCGAGCUCGCCAGGACUCCGAGCGCAGUAGUUAAACCCUCGCUCUGGAUCGUACUGGCGCGGCCCUGCCGUAAAACCCCCAACUUCUGAAA